AACGGAGACCUGCGCCUCGGGGUCUCCCGGUGCCCCGGCUGGGUCCCGGCCCCCGACGGAGGGGCGCGUCCUCACUCACCGGUUCCGGUGGCGCCGCUCUCCCGGGGGGCCCAGCACAGCGCGAGCAGCAGCCAGAGCGCCCAGCGCGCGGACGUGCCCAUGGUGCCCGCCUGGAUGGUGCCGCCGCCGCCGCCGCCGUUCGCUCCGCACAACAAGUUACCAGCCCUUCCGAAAGGAGGAAGAAGGCUCCAAGCUUGAUAUAGAAGACUAUCAUACCCAGAGAGGGUAACUGAAACGAAAGAAAUUACUCCAGCAUCAAGCUAAAGACACGCCUUAAAGGAUGAGGAGGAGCAGAAAUCUUACCAGCAAGGCCAGAAAGAAGCUGUGCAUGAACAGAAAUGAAAGAAUCAGUGCAUUGCAACAGAAUGAAUCCUGGAAUGGGAAUGGAAUGCCUGGAUUUGUGGCACAGUUGGGAAGUAUCCUGGCCAUGCCAUGUUAAAGUUGCCUCCAAAGCAGUGAUUCUUACCCUUGGCUGCACAUUGGAAUUAUUUGGGAAGCUGAAAAUUAAAAAAACAAAAAAAACAAAAAACAAUGCCCAGGACCUGGGCAAGAUGGCUGAAUAAG
Long non-coding RNA from Rhinopithecus roxellana (golden snub-nosed monkey), 624 nucleotides. RefSeq lists it as uncharacterized. Lineage: Eukaryota; Metazoa; Chordata; Mammalia; Primates; Cercopithecidae. The record is from RefSeq and is a predicted model, not a curated record. The transcript is spliced from 4 exons.